RNAcentral lists this ribosomal RNA (233 nucleotides) under uncultured bacterium. Its description in RNAcentral is "partial 16S ribosomal RNA". It matches the Rfam family "Bacterial small subunit ribosomal RNA", at positions 118 to 351 of the family's 1533-position model. The record is from RNAcentral.
UGAGUAACCUGCCCUUAACUCUGGGAUAACUCCGGGAAACCGGGGCUAAUACCGGAUAUGACUCCUCAUCGCAUGGUGGGGGGUGAAAGCUUUAUUGUGGUUUUGGAUGGACUCGCGGCCUAUCAGCUAGUUGGUGGGUAAUGGCUCACCAAGGCGACGACGGGUANCUGGUCUGAGAGGAUGGCCAGCCANAGUUGGGACUGAGACACGGCCCAGACCUCCGUAGGGAGCAG